Molecule: non-coding RNA, 74 nt
Organism: Podarcis lilfordi (Lilford's wall lizard)
Lineage: Eukaryota; Metazoa; Chordata; Lepidosauria; Squamata; Lacertidae
Source: the annotation of a GenBank genome assembly
ACCCGGGAUAGCUCAGUCAGUAGAACAUGAAGCUCUUAAUCUCAGGGUUGUGAGUUCAAGACCCGUGUUGGGCA